This 76-nucleotide transfer RNA is filed under the name Paenibacillus silvae. RNAcentral's name for it is "tRNA-Thr". It matches the Rfam family "tRNA". From Rfam's summary of the family: Transfer RNA (tRNA) molecules are approximately 80 nucleotides in length. Their secondary structure includes four short double-helical elements and three loops (D, anti-codon, and T loops). Lineage: Bacteria; Bacillati; Bacillota; Bacilli; Caryophanales; Paenibacillaceae. The record is from RNAcentral. RNAcentral also lists the same sequence under 1 other name.
GCCGGUGUAGCUCAACUGGUAGAGCAACUGACUUGUAAUCAGUAGGUUGGGGGUUCAAGUCCUCUCGUCGGCACCA